GAUGAACGCUGGCGGCGUGCUUAACACAUGCAAGUCGAACGGAAAGGCUCCUGCUUGCAGGGGUACUCGAGUGGCGAACGGGUGAGUAACACGUGGGUGAUCUGCCCUGCACUUCGGGAUAAGCCUGGGAAACUGGGUCUAAUACCGGAUAGGACGAUGGUUUGGAUGCCAUUGUGGAAAGUUUUUCGGUGUGGGAUGAGCUCGCGGCCUAUCAGCUUGUUGGUGGGGUAAUGGCCUACCAAGGCGUCGACGGGUAGCCGGCCUGAGAGGGUGUGCGGCCACAGUGGGACUGAGAUACGGCCCAGACUCCUACGGGAGGGAGGAGUGGGGAAUAUUGCACAAUGGGCGCAAGCCUGAUGCAGCGACGCCGCGUGGGGGAUGACGGCCUGCGGGUUGUAAACUCCUUUCGCUAGGGACGAAGCGCAAGUGACGGUACCUGGAGAAGAAGCACUGGCUAACUACGU
This 464-nucleotide ribosomal RNA is filed under the name uncultured bacterium. RNAcentral describes it as "partial 16S ribosomal RNA". It matches the Rfam family "Bacterial small subunit ribosomal RNA", at positions 28 to 506 of the family's 1533-position model. The record is from RNAcentral.